Long non-coding RNA from Drosophila persimilis, 823 nucleotides. RefSeq lists it as uncharacterized. Lineage: Eukaryota; Metazoa; Arthropoda; Insecta; Diptera; Drosophilidae. The transcript has 3 exons. The record is from RefSeq and is a predicted model, not a curated record.
UCAGAUUGAUCAUUCCGUAACGGCCAUUUCGGUGUCUGCUUUGUCCGUGGCAUUCGUCGCGCUCGCAUAUAUUUGUGUGAUUUCUUUCGUGCGUUUGUGUUUUUGUUUGUCCAAAUGCGGCAGCCAUGGUUGUUGCCCUCUUAGGGGCUGAACGGGAAUGUGUUGGCGUUUCUAAGUAGAUUCAGCAGCGGCGGCCGCAUGCUGGAUCCGCUCCUGUGUCAGCAAUGUGAUGAGGUUGUCCAGUUUCUGGCUGAGUUCAUCGCUAGGACGGACGAUCUGAUUACUCACCGUGCGCUGGAAUCCGGUUGUGGUCGCUGUGGGUAGCAUUGACUGCCAUACUUGCCUCCCUGGAAGCGGCUGGGAAAGGCUUGCUGGCUCCCUUGUGCGAAGUGUCUCAGCAUAACUGCUCAUCUCAGCUGGCGGAGCAGGAGCUCUUGCGUCUGAGCGCGCUCGCCGCAAACCCUGAGCGGCGGGUAAGUAAUCUUUAUAUUUGAUACAACCACGGUAGCUAGAAACAUAAGGACCAUUACAAUUGGCGCAUUUCGGCACAUCCUCCCGCUUCUUGGGGCAGUCCUUGGGGUCAUGCUUCUCCCCACAUUUCAGGCAUAUAACUGCACGGCUGCAGUAGUUCUUUUUGUCUUUUCGUAUGCAACGGCGGCAAUACGUAAUUAGCAUAGCGCAACGUAACCCAGCUCGAGCCUUGGCCUGUUCCAGCAGGUUAGGGGAGCCAGUGUUACGUUACGCCAUGGGGACUUUAUUCUACCUAUACUAUUCUAGCAUUUUUAGUACAAAUUAUUAGGGCUGUAGUAUAUCAUAAAUAUUC